RNAcentral lists this ribosomal RNA (519 nucleotides) under uncultured eukaryote. RNAcentral's name for it is "SSU rRNA". It matches the Rfam family "Eukaryotic small subunit ribosomal RNA", at positions 1161 to 1699 of the family's 1831-position model. The record is from RNAcentral.
AGGGCACCACCAGGAGUGGAGCCUGCGGCUUAAUUUGACUCAACACGGGAAAACUCACCCGGCCCGGACACUGGGAGGAUUGACAGAUUGAGAGCUCUUUCUUGAUUCAGUGGGUGGUGGUGCAUGGCCGUUCUUAGUUGGUGGAGUGAUUUGUCUGGUUAAUUCCGAUAACGAACGAGACUCUAGCCUACUAAAUAGAUCGUCGGCUUACAAACGCCGGCGAGACUUCUUAGAGGGACAGGCGGUGAUUCAACCGCACGAAACAGAGCAAUAACAGGUCUGUGAUGCCCUUAGAUGUCCGGGGCCGCACGCGCGCUACACUGAAGUGAUCAGCGUGCUUUUUCAACCUACUCUGUCAAGAGUGGGGAACCCAAUGAACCUUCUUCGUGAUUGGGAUAGGGGAUUGUAAUUGUUCCCCUUGAACGAGGAAUUCCCAGUAAGCGCGAGUCAUAAGCUCGCGUUGAUUACGUCCCUGCCCUUUGUACACACCGCCCGUCGCUACUACCGAUUGAAUGUUUU